AGCGAACGCUGGCGGCAGGCUUAACACAUGCAAGUCGAGCGCCCCGCAAGGGGAGCGGCCGACGGGAGAGUAACACGUGGGAACAUACCUUUUGGUUCGGAACAACUGAGGGAAACUUCAGCUAAUACCGGAUAAGCCCUUACGGGGAAAGAUUUAUCGCCGAAAGAUUGGCCCGCGUCUGAUUAGCUAGUUGGUGAGGUAACGGCUCACCAAGGCGACGAUCAGUAGCUGGUCUGAGAGGAUGAUCAGCCUCACUGGGACUGAGACACGGCCCAGACUCCUACGGGAGGCAGCAGUGGGGAAUAGUGGACAAUGGGGGCAACCCUGAUCCAGCCAUGCCGCGUGAGUGAUGAAGGCCUUAGGGUUGUAAAGCUCUUUUGCCCGGGAAGAUAAUGACGGUACCGGGAGAAUAAGCCCCGGCUAACUUCGUG
This 431-nucleotide ribosomal RNA is filed under the name uncultured bacterium. RNAcentral describes it as "partial 16S ribosomal RNA". It matches the Rfam family "Bacterial small subunit ribosomal RNA", at positions 29 to 507 of the family's 1533-position model. The record is from RNAcentral.